This 464-nucleotide ribosomal RNA is filed under the name uncultured bacterium. Its description in RNAcentral is "partial 16S ribosomal RNA". It matches the Rfam family "Bacterial small subunit ribosomal RNA", at positions 339 to 795 of the family's 1533-position model. The record is from RNAcentral.
CUACGGGGCGCUCCAGUGGGGAAUAUUGCACAAUGGGGGAAACCCUGAUGCAGCCAUGCCGCGUGUGUGAAGAAGGCCUUCGGGUUGUAAAGCACUUUCAGUUGUGAGGAAAGGUUGUAGAUUAAUACUCUGCAGCUGUGACGUUAGCAACAGAAGAAGCACCGGCUAACUCCGUGCCAGCAGCCGCGGUAAUACGGAGGGUGCGAGCGUUAAUCGGAAUUACUGGGCGUAAAGCGCGUGUAGGUGGCUUGUUAAGCCAGAUGUGAAAGCCCCGGGCUCAACCUGGGAACUGCAUUUGGAACUGGCAGGCUAGAGUUUUGUAGAGGGUGGUAGAAUUUCAGGUGUAGCGGUGAAAUGCGUAGAGAUCUGAAGGAAUACCGGUGGCGAAGGCGACCACCUGGCCAAUAACUGACACUGAGACGCGAAGGCGUGGGUAGCAAACGGGAUUAGAUACCCUCGUAGUC